This 874-nucleotide long non-coding RNA is filed under the name Rhinopithecus bieti (black snub-nosed monkey). RNAcentral describes it as "lncRNA (ENSRBIG00000046116.1)". Lineage: Eukaryota; Metazoa; Chordata; Mammalia; Primates; Cercopithecidae. The record is from RNAcentral.
CUAGCCACGUGUGGCUAUUGUGCACUUGAAAUGUGGCCAGUGUGACUGAGGAACUGAAUUUCUUUUAGCUUUAAUUAAGUGUAAAUAGCCAUACAUAGCUAGUGGCCAGCAUACUGGACAGGUCAAAUUUAGAACCUCUUCUUUCUGCCACUGUUGACUAUGACAAAAGAACGAGUCAUAGAGAGGAAUGGACUUCUCCCAUUCUACUGGAGCAACCUGGAGAACACUUGGGCUUCGAAGGCCACUUCCCUCUGCUCCCCAGGGCCUACCCCACUGGCUUCAGACGAGUGACUGAGGGCAAGAAGGAAGAGCCAGGAUUCUGUCUACAUGUGUGUACAUGUCUACUGGAUCACAGUAUAAAGUCUAUCUCUGAAGCAGAUGGAGGUAAAAUACCUUGGAGAAUCUGAGGUGUCGUUCCCAGCUCUCUUUAGGACCUGAGACUGACUCUGGCUCCAAGGCUUUCAGCUCUGGUCUUUCAGUGCUCUUGGUUGCCCCAUGCUUGCUGGGCAGGAUUCUGCAUAUGUGAUUUUAAAGAUAUUUUUAUGCCCUUCUUCCUGGCGGGCAGAGGCUGGGGCCAGGCAUCAGGAAGCACAUGGCUCAAAGAGAAGGCAGUCACGGACUUAGGUGGCAGGGACCCCAGGUAGCACACGAACAUCAGGACCUCCAAACCAAAUGAUGAUGGGCUUGAACCCCUCCACUCCGACGAGUCUCUGUUUAGGGAAGACAUUUUUGUGCCCAGAAUCAGUGAGAUCCUCUGUGGGGUGGGCUGGCCAGAAUUUCUAAAAGCAGUACUUACGAAGACUGUUUUUAGCCCUUAGAUAGUUUCAGAUGGUCUCUGUGGCAUUUACUACAAUCACAAAUGGGAAAGCCAGCA